Molecule: transfer RNA, 62 nt
Filed under: Tetraphalerus bruchi
Lineage: Eukaryota; Metazoa; Arthropoda; Insecta; Coleoptera; Ommatidae
Description: tRNA-Thr
Source: RNAcentral
GUUUUAAUAAUUUAUUUAAAAUAUCGGUCUUGUAAACCGAAAAAGAGGAAACUCUUAAAACU